CGCGAAUAGCUCAUUACAACAGCUAUAAUUUACUUGAUCUUGACAAUCCUACUUGGAUAACUGUGGUAAUUCUAGAGCUAAUACAUGCACCAAAGCUCUGACCUUACGGGAAGAGUGCAUUUAUUAGAACAAAACCAAGCGGCUUCGGCUGUUUUCGGUUGACUCAUAGUAACUGAGCUGAUCGCAUGGUCUUGCACCGGCGACGUGUCUUUCGAGUAUCUGCCGUAUCAACUCUCGAUGGUAGUGUAUCUGACUACCAUGGUGAUCACGCGUAACGGAGAAUAAGGGUUCGACUCCGGAGAGUUCGCCUGAGAAAUCGCGAACACAUCUAAGGAAGGCAGCAGGCGCGAAAAUUACCCACUCUCAGCACGAGGAGGUAGUGACGAAAAAUAACGAGACCGUUCUCUUAUGAGGCCGGUCAUCGGAAUGGGUACAAUUUAAACCCUUUAACGAGUAUCUAUGAGAGGGCAAGUCUGGUGCCAGCAGCCGCGGUAAUUCCAGCU
Molecule: ribosomal RNA, 503 nt
Filed under: Acrobeloides maximus
Lineage: Eukaryota; Metazoa; Nematoda; Chromadorea; Rhabditida; Cephalobidae
Description: SSU rRNA
Rfam family: Eukaryotic small subunit ribosomal RNA
Source: RNAcentral